AUGCCAGACUCCUACGGGAGGCAGCAGUGGUUCCUCUUCCGCAAUUUGCUCAAGCCUGCCGGCGCAACGCCGCUUGCUCGAAUGAAGGCCUUCGGGUUGUCCCGCUCUGUUGACCGGGCCGAAUAAGCCCUGCGAAUAGUUUUGUGUAUGACGGUACCUGUUUAGAAAGCUCCGGCUAACUACGUGCCAGCAGCCGCGGUCAUACGUAGGGAGCAAGCGUUGUCCGGAAUUACUGGGCGUAAAGGGCGCGUAGGUGGGUGCUGAAGUCAGGUGUGAAAACUCCGGGCUCAACCUGGAGACUGCGCUUGAAACUGGGUGUCUUGAGGGCAGGAGAGGAAAGUGGAAUUCCUAGUGUAGCGGUGAAAUGCGUAGAUAUUAGGAGGAACGCCAGUGGCGAAGGCGACUUUCUGGACGGUACCUGACGCUGAGGCUCGAAAGCGUGGGUAGCGAACGGGAUUAGAUACCCGAGUAG
This 472-nucleotide ribosomal RNA is filed under the name uncultured bacterium. Its description in RNAcentral is "bacterial SSU rRNA". It matches the Rfam family "Bacterial small subunit ribosomal RNA", at positions 328 to 793 of the family's 1533-position model. The record is from RNAcentral.